This 1670-nucleotide ribosomal RNA is filed under the name Milionia basalis. Its description in RNAcentral is "16S ribosomal RNA". The record is from RNAcentral. Lineage: Eukaryota; Metazoa; Arthropoda; Insecta; Lepidoptera; Geometridae.
CUUUUUUAACUAGGUAAAUUUUGUGGGGGUAAAAUUUUUUUUAGUGAAUAAAAAAGUUAAUUUUAAAUGAUUUUUUUUUAUUUAAAUAUUGAAUUUGAAUUUAAGAUUUAAUUUUAAUUAAAAAAUUAAUUUAAAAUUAUAUUUUUAAAUUUUAAAAUAAAUUUUUAAUUUAAAAUAUAAAAUUUGUAAAUUAAAUUAAAAUUUAAAUUAUUUAUUUCAUUUAUAUUGAAGUUAUAUUAAUUAAUAUUAAUUAAUUUAUAAAAAAAAAAUUAAUUUAAUAUAAAAUAAUAAAAUUAAUUUUAAUUUCUAAUAUAAUAAAAGUUAAAGUAUUAUUUAAAGAAAAAAUUUAUAAAUUUAUAGUUAAUUAGUAUUGUGAAAGAAUUUUGAAAUAAAUGAAAAAUUAUUUAAUUGAAAGUAAUUUUUAUUUAAUGUAUCUUGAGUAUCAGAGUUUAUUAAAAAAUUUUUAAUUUAUAUUAAUAUCUCGAAUUUAAAAGAGUUAAACAAUUAAAAAAGUUAUUGUAGUAAAAUUAUUUUAAAUAAUUGUUUUGAAAUGAAAUGUUAAUCGUUUUUAAAUAUAUCUAGUUUUUUUAGAAAAAAAUUUAAUUUUAAAUUUAUUUUAAAAAUUAAAUUAAUUAAUUAAUUUAAUUUAAAAUAAUUUUUAUAUUUUAAGGGAUAAGCUUUAAAUUAAAUUUUUAUAAUAAAAUUUUUUAAUAUUUGAAAAUUUUAGGAUUUAUAUUGUUAAUAAAUUUUAUUUUGUUAUAAAUAAAUUUCAUUUAAAUUAAAAUUUAAUAAAAUUUAUAUUUAAUUUUUUAUAAAAAAAUAUUUUUUAAUAAUAAAAAAUUAGAAAUAAUGAUAAAAUUAGUAUAUAAAAAAAAAUUAAUUUUAAUUUAAAAAGUUAUAAAUUAAUUAAUUAAAAGGAAUUCGGCAAAUAUUUAUUUUCACUUGUUUAUCAAAAACAUGUCUUUUUGUUUAUAAUUUAAAGUCUAAUCUGCCCACUGAUUUUAAUUAAAGGGCUGCAGUAUUUUGACUGUACAAAGGUAGCAUAAUCAUUAGUCUUUUAAUUGAUGACUUGUAUGAAAGAUUGAAUGAAAAAUUUACUGUCUCUUAAUUAAUUUAUAGAAUUUAAUUUUUUAUUUAAAAAGUUAAAAUAUUUUAAAAAGACGAGAAGACCCUAUAGAGUUUUAUAAUUAAAAUUUUAAUAAAUUAUUUAUAAAAUUAAUAUUUUUAUAAAUUUAAUUAUUUUAUUGGGGUGAUGAAAAAAUAAAUAAAACUUUUUUUAAUAAAUUAACAAAUAUAGUUGAUUAUGUGAUCCAAUAUUAUUGAUUAUAAGAUUAAAUUACCUUAGGGAUAACAGCGUAAUUUUUUUUUUUAGUUCAAAUAGGAAAAAAAGUUUGCGACCUCGAUGUUGGAUUAAGAUAAAAUUUAAAUGCAAAAGUUUAAAAUUUUUGAUCUGUUCGAUCAUUAAAAUCUUACAUGAUCUGAGUUCAAACCGGUGUGAGCCAGGUUGGUUUCUAUCUUUUAAAAAAUAGAAUAUUUUAGUACGAAAGGAUCAAUUAUUUUAAUUAAAAUUAUUUAUUAUGAAUUUUAUUAAUAAAAAUAAAAAAUUAUUAAUUAUUACUAUAUAUAUAUAUAUAUAUAUAUAUAUAUAUAUAUAUUAAAAAAAUUUUUAA